Molecule: ribosomal RNA, 497 nt
Filed under: uncultured bacterium
Lineage: Bacteria
Description: partial 16S ribosomal RNA
Rfam family: Bacterial small subunit ribosomal RNA
Source: RNAcentral
GAUGAACGCUGGCGGCGUGCCUAAUACAUGCAAGUCGAGCGAACGGACGAGAAGCUUGCUUUUCUGAUGUUAGCGGCGGACGGGUGAGUAACACGUGGAUAACCUACCUAUAAGACUGGGAUAACUUCGGGAAACCGGAUCUAAUACCGGAUAAUAUUUUGAACCGCAUGGUUCAAAAGUGAAAGACGGUCUUUCUGUCACUUAUAGAUGGAUCCGCGCUGCAUUAGCUAGUGGGUACGGUAACGGCUUACCAAGGCAACGAUGCAUAGCCGACCUGAGAGGGUGAUCGGCCACACUGGAACUGAGACACGGUCCAGACUCCUACGGGAGGCAGCAGUAGGGAAUCUUCCGCAAUGGGCGAAAGCCUGACGGAGCAACGCCGCGUGAGUGAUGAAGGUCUUCGGAUCGUAAAACUCUGUUAUUAGGGAAGAACAUAUGUGUAAGUAACUGUGCACAUCUUGACGGUACCUAAUCAGAAAGCCACGGCUAACUACGUG